RNA transcript from Ananas comosus (pineapple), 2658 nucleotides. It is a transcript of the gene named serine/arginine repetitive matrix protein 2-like, with no coding region annotated. Lineage: Eukaryota; Viridiplantae; Streptophyta; Magnoliopsida; Poales; Bromeliaceae. The record is from RefSeq and is a predicted model, not a curated record. The transcript has 5 exons.
CCUCUCGUGUUCGGACGGGGUGGGUUUCACGCUUGUUUUUUUUUUAGGGUUUUCGCAAAUUCGGGCCCAACCGCGAUCGAGCACGAGGAGGGUUUCCGCCGAGGCGAUUCCGAGCCCUAAAAUCUCACAAUUGUAGCAGUUUCCCGAAGCCACCACCACCACCACCACCGCGAAGCAGUGCGAGCGAGCGAGCGAGCUCGAAACCAGAAUCUCUCGUCGCGAAUCGAAACCCCUCCCUAAUUCUCCUCCUCGCGCCAAUUCGCACUCCCACGGAUCGAUCGAAAGGGUUGGGACUUGGGAUGGAUAAUAUGGUUUCACCAGAUAGAAGUUCAGAAGAGGCCUACAAGGAGGCUGAGACGUUAAAAGUGGGAGAAUGUGAAUUUAACUCGGUUGAAGACAAGGAUUCUCAGGGUAAGAGGUCUUUAGAACAGGAAGAUGAAGAAAUUGUUGAAAGAAUGCCAAUUGACUCACAUCUUGAGGCUUCGCCUAAGCAUCCUGUAAUUGAAUCUGAUUCAGUUAGUCCAACUUCAACUUCCCAGAAAGCUGCAGAGCCACAUUUACUAGUUGAUUCGGAUAUGCAAAAAGAUUCGGGAAGGGGAGUUUCAGAUCGCAUUGCUGAGGGAGAGAAAAUACCCUCACAAGAUUAUAACAUCCAAAGCAGAACAGAUGAGGCUGAUGAAAAAUUAGAUAUUUGUGAGGAACCAGAUGUGAAUAACUGUCAUGAGAAAAUUGAUGACAGUGCUCGUGACCAUGAAUGUACGAAUUCAACUUCUUUUUCUGUGACAGAUAAUAAAAGUUUGAAAAGUACAUCUGAAGUAGCUAAUUUUGAUCAGGUUGAGCUUAACAAUGAGAUAAUGGAUGAUGAGAAUUUAGGCCAUUAUACUGAGUCGAAGGAAGAUAAUGACACCUUAGAGAAGGCACCUUCUCAUAAUGAAGGGGUGGGAAUGGAUAGGUCUCCUAAAGCUCAGAAUGGUAUACCAUCUCCAGAGAGAAAAUCAGUUCAGUCAAGAAGCCCUUCUACAAGGAAACACUCACGCUCUCCUGAAAAGAGUAGUGCGGGUCGCAAAAGGGCUUCUUCACAUGAACGCUCAUCUCCUCCUGUAAGAAGGAAGUCAUCAUCUGAGAAGGCAUCGUAUAGAGAUUCUCGCCAUAGAGACGACUCCCCGCGACGUACAUCUGUGUCACCUCGAAGGCGGGAUUCGCCACGUAGGAGGGACAGGUCAACAUCACGAUCACCUCCAAGGAAGAGGGACUCUUCGGGGCACAGAAGAGACCACCGUGGUAGAUCUCGAUCAAGGUCUCCCAGUGCAAGGGAUCAUUACCGCCGAUCACCAAGGAAAAGGCACUCACCCAGGCGAAGAUCCCCUCCAUCAAGUUACUAUUCUCGCCGACGUUCUCCCAGGAGACCUUGGUCACCACCCCCUAAUCGUAAUACUGGAAUAGGUAAGCCUGGAAGGAAUUUGUUUGUUGCAGGUUUUAGCUAUGUCACAACUGAGAGAGAUUUGGAGAGGAAAUUCUCAAGGUUUGGACGCGUAACAGAUGUUCGCAUUGUUCGUGAUAAAAGGUCUGGGGAUUCUCGUGGCUUUGGGUUUUUAUCAUUGGAGAGGGAUGAAGAUGCAGAUGCAGCAAUACGUGCUUUAGAUCAGACUGAGUGGAACGGUCGGAUCGUCCUUGUGGAGAAAUCAAAGACGCCUGUACGCUGAAGAAGUUCCAUCUUCAAACAUUCACAGAGAGAGAGAGAGAGGACCAUUACAAUUUUCCCAGCAUUUCAUACCGAAUCUUCCCUUCAACCAUAUUACAUAAGUUGUGAACCUAUAUGGUUACAGGAGCAGAUAGUACAUGAAAGUUAUCUGUCCCUUUUUAACUCUGCGAACCUCUACAUGAGUACCAUGAUUCACGAACACGUACCCUAUAGGAGCCCGCCAUCUCAUAACUGAUCAUUUUGGAGUUAUCAUACCUGCAAUGGAUAUGUUUGAUCGGUGAAAACGAUGUCUAUUUAUGAAACACGGAUCUUCUGGGUUAAUUACAAACUAAGCCUGAUUUCAAAUACAUUCUUUAGAGUUUAAAAUUUAACACUUUAGUCCCUGAAGUUUAUUUGAUGUAACAACUAAAUCCUUCCGUCCAGGUACUUGUUUAAAAGGUUAACAAAUCACCAUCAUCUGAGAAAAACUGUAGGCUAACGGAAAUACUUAGUUGUUACAUAGGACCAAUGUCAGGGACAAAUUUGUUAAUGUGGAAACUCUGAGGAUGUAGUUGGUGUCGUACUUCAAAAGUUAAAAGUGUAACUAACCCCUUUUUUUUCUUUCAUUUUUUUGCCUAUUAUUGGCUAUUUUCCUACUUUGUGUUCCAGACGUUCCUCUUGUGGUGCAGGGUUUGUCUAGUUUUAGAUACCUCAAAAUCAAGCUUGAUGUUCGGUCUUAUCCCUACUCCCAACUCUGUUUUGGCACUAUAGAAUCCUUGAAUGUUGAAUCUCGAACAACCUGCGGUGGAUUUACCAUAAUUGCUGUUGGUUUGCUUUUCUACAUCUUAUUCCUUGUGCUCUGAUGAGUGCCUGCACAAACAUUUUCUGUUGUUAACUGCACGAGCUUCCUAAUUGCAUUGUUAUUAUUUUGUUGUAUGUCUUCACUAAGUAUGUUAAGGGGGGUUUCUUUUGCUUCA